GAUGAACGCUGGCGGCGUGCCUAAUACAUGCAAGUCGAGCGAACGGACGAGAAGCUUGCUUCUCUGAUGUUAGCGGCGGACGGGUGAGUAACACGUGGAUAACCUACCUAUAAGACUGGGAUAACUUCGGGAAACCGUAGCUAAUACCGGAUAAUAUUUUGAACCGCAUGGUUCAAAAGUGAAAGACGGUCUUGCUGUCACUUAUAGAUGGAUCCGCGCUGCAUUAGCUAGUUGGUAAGGUAACGGCUUACCAAGGCAACGAUGCAUAGCCGACCUGAGAGGGUGAUCGGCCACACUGGAACUGAGACACGGUCCAGACUCCUACGGGAGGCAGCAGUAGGGAAUCUUCCGCAAUGGGCGAAAGCCUGACGGAGCAACGCCGCGUGAGUGAUGAAGGUCUUCGGAUCGUAAAACUCUGUUAUUAGGGAAGAACAUAUGUGUAAGUAACUGUGCACAUCUUGACGGUACCUAAUCAGAAAGCCACGGCUAACUACGUGCCAGCAGCCGCGGUAAUACGUAGGUGGCAAGCGUUAUCCGGAAUUAUUGGGGGUAAAGCGCGCGUAGCGGUUUUUUAAGUCUGAUGUGAAAGCCCACGGCUCAACCGUGGAGGGUCAUUGGAAACUGGAAAACUUGAGUGCAGAAGAGGAAAGUGGAAUUCCAUGUGUAGCGGUGAAAUGCGCAGAGAUAUGGAGGAACACCAGUGGCGAAGGCGACUUUCUGGUCUGUAACUGACGCUGAUGUGCGAAAGCGUGGGGAUCAAACAGGAUUAGAUACCCUGGUAGUCCACGCCGUAAACGAUGAGUGCUAAGUGUUAGGGGGUUUCCGCCCCUUAGUGCUGCAGCUAACGCAUUAAGCACUCCGCCUGGGGAGUACGACCGCAAGGUUGAAACUCAAAGGAAUUGACGGGGACCCGCACAAGCGGUGGAGCAUGUGGUUUAAUUCGAAGCAACGCGAAGAACCUUACCAAAUCUUGACAUCCUUUGACAACUCUAGAGAUAGAGCCUUCCCCUUCGGGGGACAAAGUGACAGGUGGUGCAUGGUUGUCGUCAGCUCGUGUCGUGAGAUGUUGGGUUAAGUCCCGCAACGAGCGCAACCCUUAAGCUUAGUUGCCAUCAUUAAGUUGGGCACUCUAAGUUGACUGCCGGUGACAAACCGGAGGAAGGUGGGGAUGACGUCAAAUCAUCAUGCCCCUUAUGAUUUGGGCUACACACGUGCUACAAUGGACAAUACAAAGGGCAGCGAAACCGCGAGGUCAAGCAAAUCCCAUAAAGUUGUUCUCAGUUCGGAUUGUAGUCUGCAACUCGACUACAUGAAGCUGGAAUCGCUAGUAAUCGUAGAUCAGCAUGCUACGGUGAAUACGUUCCCGGGUCU
RNAcentral lists this ribosomal RNA (1371 nucleotides) under uncultured bacterium. RNAcentral describes it as "bacterial SSU rRNA". It matches the Rfam family "Bacterial small subunit ribosomal RNA", at positions 28 to 1381 of the family's 1533-position model. The record is from RNAcentral.